UUGUGUCUGUCGGUGGUCAACAACCUCCUCUGCAGCACUGCUGAUUCUGAUCGAUAUCAGGGAAUAAUCUACAGCCAAACAGCAGGUGCAUCACUGCAGAGGCCAACAUCAACAGCAGACAAGAAUAAUGGGAGCCAAUAUUUCACGCAAGAUUGUGGGAGCGUUGACAGGGAUGGUGACGGGUGCCGGUCUGGUCAUUUUAGGACUGUUGACCCAAGUUUUUGUAAUUGCUAGAAGAAUGGGAAUUGCACAAGUUUUGGGGGCAGCAGGAUUUACAGGAAUUACAAGAGUUACAGGAGUUAAAGGAGUUACAGCACCAGCAAAUUAAGUUGCAGAAGCAGCAGCAAACAGAGCAGCAGCAGUGGCUCAGAAACUACUUACAGUGAUCAGCACUGGACUGAUUAUAGCAGCACUUGGAGGAUGCAUCAUUGGAUAUGAAGCAGGAGGACAAGCUGAUUCAAUGUAUGAUGCAAUUACAAGGGCAUUAGAUUGUAACUUUGAGCUGGCAAAAUAUGUAAUUAAGAAAGUACGAGAAUUUAUUGCUUUUGUUUUAAAAGACAACAGAAUGUGAAACUAAACUAAAAAAGGGCUCAUAUGGCCCUUUUUAUAAGAUGCAUGUAAGUCUCAGGAGUCCCAAAAAUAUGUCUGUGACGUUUCAGUUUCAAAUACCCCACAGAUCAUUCAUUAUACCACGCUAUAAAUGCCCCUUUUUGACUGCAAGCGAAAAAUAUGCUGCUUUCAUGUCUCUUUAAAUGCAAAUGAGCUGCUUUCCCCUGCCUUUACAGCUCCUGCCUCAAUUACUACAGCAACAACACACA
This is a long non-coding RNA of Sinocyclocheilus anshuiensis, 818 nucleotides long. RefSeq lists it as uncharacterized. The transcript has 4 exons. Lineage: Eukaryota; Metazoa; Chordata; Actinopteri; Cypriniformes; Cyprinidae. The record is from RefSeq and is a predicted model, not a curated record.